Labeo rohita (rohu) is the source of this 181-nucleotide long non-coding RNA. RefSeq lists it as uncharacterized. Lineage: Eukaryota; Metazoa; Chordata; Actinopteri; Cypriniformes; Cyprinidae. The transcript has 2 exons. The record is from RefSeq and is a predicted model, not a curated record.
GUCUAACGGCGCUCGUCAAUGUCAAAAUGUUCGCAAUGGCCAAUCAAAUCAAAGAAGGCGGGGCUUACCGUUCACAGAAACUGAAAAAAAAUGAAGGUGGUCUAACGGCGCUCAUCAAUGUCAAAAUGUUUGCGAUGGCCAAUCAAAUCAAAGAAGGCGGGGCUUACCGUUCACAGAAACC